This 256-nucleotide ribosomal RNA is filed under the name uncultured bacterium. RNAcentral describes it as "partial 16S ribosomal RNA". It matches the Rfam family "Bacterial small subunit ribosomal RNA", at positions 524 to 776 of the family's 1533-position model. The record is from RNAcentral.
UACGGAGGGUGCGAGCGUUGUCCGGAAUCAUUGGGCGUAAAGGGCGCGUAGGUGGCCCGGUCAGUCUUUGGUGAAAGCGCGGGGCUCAACCCUGCGUCGGCCAGGGAUACUGCCGCGGCUCGAGCACUGUAGAGGCAGGCGGAAUUCCGGGUGUAGCGGUGGAAUGCGUAGAGAUCCGGAAGAACACCGGUGGCGAAGGCGGCCUGCUGGGCAGUUUUGCUGACACUGAGGCGCGACAGCGUGGGGAGCAAACGGG